Molecule: transfer RNA, 73 nt
Filed under: Bos taurus (domestic cattle)
Lineage: Eukaryota; Metazoa; Chordata; Mammalia; Artiodactyla; Bovidae
Also listed under: 3 other names
Rfam family: tRNA
About the family: Transfer RNA (tRNA) molecules are approximately 80 nucleotides in length.
Source: Rfam by way of RNAcentral
UCCCUGGUGGUCCAGUGGCUAGGACUCUGCACUCCCAAUGCAAGGAGUGCAAGUUCAAUUCCUGGUCAAGGAA